RNAcentral lists this ribosomal RNA (508 nucleotides) under uncultured bacterium. RNAcentral describes it as "partial 16S ribosomal RNA". It matches the Rfam family "Bacterial small subunit ribosomal RNA", at positions 28 to 507 of the family's 1533-position model. The record is from RNAcentral.
GACGAACGCUGGCGGCGUGCCUAAUACAUGCAAGUCGAACGCUUCUUUCCUCCCGAGUGCUUGCCCUCAAUUGGAAAGAGGAGUGGCGGACGGGUGAGUAACACGUUGGUAACCUACCCCUCAGAGGGGGAUAACACUUGGAAACAGGUGCUAAUACCGCAUAACAGUUUAUGCCGCAUGGCCUAAGAGUGAAAGGCGCUUUCGGGUGUCGCUGAUGGAUGGACCCGAGGUGCAUUAGCUAGUUGGGGAGGUAACGGCUCACCAAGGCCACGAUGCAUAGCCGACCUGAGAGGGUGAUCGGCCACACUGGGACUGAGACACGGCCCAGACUCCUACGGGAGGCAGCAGUAGGGAAUCUUCGGCAAUGGACGAAAGUCUGACCGAGCAACGCCGCGUGAGUGAAGAAGGUUUUCGGAUCGUAAAACUCUGUUGUUAGAGAAGAACAAGGACGUUAGUAACUGAACGUCCCCUGACGGUAUCUAACCAGAAAGCCACGGCUAACUACGUG